GUUAUAAAGCUGAGAGGUGAUCGAACCGGUAUACAUAGAACAAUAACUAGCCUUGGCGACAGCUUGGAUUAUUUGGCAUGUCGCCAACUACGUGGAUACGUUGUCAAAUCAAUUCCGGCUUUGUCCAGAAACAUUGGAGUCACUGCACAGACCUGUUUGUCUGCAUUACGGACUUGAAUUAGGCAACGGUGAUUGCGAAGCCAGACCUGUACAAGUCUACUAAACUCCUACAAUGUGUAGUAAGACUGUAGGCAUGAAAUGUUGGUGCUACUUUGUUUUAGGAAAAGGCACCUCCAAUGGAUAUGUGUUGAGAAAAUGCUGUGGCGCGACAACGGAAUUGAACCUCCGACAGAUUCCAGCGUCGGCUUUUGUGGUUGAAAUUAUCAUACUCACCCGAUGAGUUUCAGAAAGCUCUGGGAUAUAUACCUCUGGCAGCUAAACAACUUUCAGUUUGUUGAUAUGGCUUCUGGUCGGAAGAAUAAGCAGGAAGCGAACAUCAAAACCGGGGAGAGUUUUGACUUGGUAACGAAGUCUUUGUCAUAAGCUUUAUUGCAGGUUUCAGCCAAGAAGACGUGGGACGAUGAUUUAAGCUGAACUAUAUGCAUGCUCAUCGGGGAGAAAAGGCAUGCACCUGGCAAUGAUAUAAUAUGCCCAAUGAAAUAUCUAGAGGGAAGAGAGAUAGAAAUUAAUGCCAGCAUACAUUUACCAGAAGACAUCGAGGAAGAGUGUUUGACAAAACACGAAAACCCUGUAAUUAAUCUUAAACUCUCAUCCGGGGACUUUGAGUCAAUCAUAUGCAAUGAAGCUUUUAAUCUCGGUGUAUGUAAUUGCAUAGAGGUCCAAGAAAAUGUCCUCAAUUGCAGUUUGGUUUUACCCGACAACAGGGCCAAAUAUGAGGGUGCAGAAGUUACCUUUAAGUAUUACAGUCUAUUACCUACUUGCGGACAGUCUACAGGGCCCGACAAGUCCUGCAGAAUUACUUAUGACGCUUCCUCUGGAGCUGAUGGUCCAACCUCUGGUGGAGUCUCUCUGGGUCUAAUCAUCAUCCUUAUCGCAUUGAGCUUUCUGCCAUGGCUGUUCUGUUGAGGAGACAUAAAUCUACUGUUUCUGCCUGAUUGAAGCGAAAAUGCACACCACUGCAUGUCCAGGAUAUUCUGAGAUCAAAUGUGCGAAUGUUCAUCUAUCAUCCCAUGGGACGUCUCUUCUAUGCACCAUGCACUACAUAUCAAUGAUGUUUAAAAAAGAAGAAUGACGAGAAUACUGAAGACAACGACCGCUAAAUAUUUCUUCACCACUUUAAUCUUCAUUGGAUAUCCAGCAUCUGAUAAUAACAGCAAAUCCUUUGGAUGACGGAAUAUAAUAUUCUCGCUCUUAUCAACACUGCUAUUCUGGUAGAAGAGUGAAAUUAAUUUAACAAACUCCUUUUGUAAAUAUUGUCAAAUUUGUAUAUGUAUCAAAACGAGGAUUGUGAAAAACCACCUGUAUACUCAACGCAUGCAGUCGACAUUUUUGAGGCAUUUAUUAGCUGUUGAAGCAUUUAUGAAUACUUUUUUUUCUAAAAAGGGUUCAUUGGUAUUGUGUUUAGAGUUGUAUGGUAGCUUACAGGAACAUGAAAUACAUCUUUUUACCAAGAAGCAAGAAUUUAAAACUUUGGUAAUUUUAAACCAUUGACCGGCAAUGUAAAUGAUUCCUUGGACGAAUACAGUGUUUGUAUGCAUGUGUGUACUAAUACAGAUUUACUCAUGAUUUACAACAAAAAGUUGUUUACUUUUUGCCACAUCUGCAUCGUCGAUGUGACCAAAGAACUGUGGAAUCAAAAGAUAUUGCUCCUUUUUUGUUAGCUGUCAAGAACAAAACAUAACCAAAGGGAGGUAAUAUCACGACGGUAGUAUUAUUGAUGUAAAAUGGACAGGGUUAGUUUAAAGUUUAUCUUAAAUGAUGUGUCAUAUUGACAGUCAGUAAAAAGUGUUGCCAAAUCUACACUUCAUCACUUUAAUAUCCUGCAUGGCUGGCUGAUCACAGUUUUUUCAAUAUCUUGUUCAGUAAGCCAAAAAAAACAAAAUGGUGUCUAAGACACUUCUUCAUACUUUUGAUACAAAUCCUGGUUUGCCUUUAUGGCUUCGGUUCUCGUUUAUAUGUAUUUAUGUACUUAAGUCCUGCUUUUCUGUGUUUCACUCAAAAUUUAAAAAAUAUUUUUAUGACCAAAUCCUUGAGAUUGUGCUGAUGCUUUUUGUAUGUGCCUUUUUAUCAUUAAAAAAGGAUAACUA
This is a long non-coding RNA of Pomacea canaliculata, 2267 nucleotides long. RefSeq lists it as uncharacterized. The record is from RefSeq and is a predicted model, not a curated record. Lineage: Eukaryota; Metazoa; Mollusca; Gastropoda; Architaenioglossa; Ampullariidae. The transcript has 4 exons.